Molecule: long non-coding RNA, 350 nt
Filed under: Salvia miltiorrhiza (redroot sage)
Lineage: Eukaryota; Viridiplantae; Streptophyta; Magnoliopsida; Lamiales; Lamiaceae
Description: long non-coding RNA (SMIL_LNC003918)
Source: RNAcentral
AGACCGGAACCUCCUUUUAUCCGGCUUUGGAAAGAAUCCUUUGCCGAAUUCUGGCUCCUUCUGCGAUGAGCAUUGAUCGCAGAUUUUCUCGAUCCAAUGGCCUAAAUGAGCCAUAUUGCAAAACUUGCGACGAGUCUCCUGGCUCCCCGCAAUCUUGUUCUUCCAAAUCAUUUGUCGUUUCUUCUCGAAAGAUUCUUCGGCAAAAGGAGUUGUUGUUCCUGUCAUGGUAUUAACUAGGAACGUUCCCAGAUCUGAGCUUUAAUAGAACUUGAAUCUGGACUUCAUUUUGUCCAUCUCUGUGAGACAGACCCAUAGACCCCAUGCUCGUCUAGUGGAGAUUUGUUCCUCCG